UACAGAGGGUGCGAGCGUUGUUCGGAAUUAUUGGGCGUAAAGCGCAUGUAGGCGGGUUGUUAAGUCGCGUGUGAAAUCCCCAGGCUCAACCUGGGAAGUGCGCGCGAAACUGGCGACCUUGAGUGCUGGAGAGGGUGGCGGAAUUCCCGGUGUAGAGGUGAAAUUCGUAGAUAUCUGGAGGAACACCGGUGGCGAAGGCGGCAUCCUGGACCGGCAUUGACGCUGAGGCGCGAAAGCCAGGGGAGCAAACGGG
RNAcentral lists this ribosomal RNA (253 nucleotides) under uncultured bacterium. Its description in RNAcentral is "partial 16S ribosomal RNA". It matches the Rfam family "Bacterial small subunit ribosomal RNA", at positions 524 to 776 of the family's 1533-position model. The record is from RNAcentral.